GUUUUUUGUUGCAAAAAAAUCUAGUAUAAUAAUAUUUAAAUUUACAUAUAUUUUUCACGUUUUCAAUGCCAAUUUUGUGUAAUGGCAAAGUUUCCCACUACCCGUGAAUGCCUCUUUUUAUGUCUCUGGCUGACUCCUUAAUCUCCGCCCAGUCUCUGCUCCAUCCCUGCCGAGUGAACGAGAUCUUUGGUUUUGCCUUUGCUGACUGCUGAUCUGAUCGUCUCAAGUCUGGUGACCUGCUGCAGAAUACCCUCUCCCUCUAUCAUUAACAAGCAAUUCAGUCUGUCCUAUCACUCUCCCUCUCCUGCUCCAUCUUUUUCGACAAGCCAUUCUAUCUUCUAUCAUUUCUCCGCCAUGAGCUCUAUCUAAGUUGACAAGCUUGAACCUGAGUUGAAACGCAAUCCUGUGACUUGAAAUCAAGUUUUACCAGAAUCUAAGUUUUUGGAAUUGAAGUUACCAGAACUUCGUCGAUCUGUUUUCAGAAUUCUGAGAGAUCUCUGCUCUCACUGCUCCAUCUUUCCUGUCGUUAAACUCUCUCACAUCCAGUCAUUUUGCUGGAAAUCACAAGUAGAAACUUGAAAUUACAGUAGUAGAAUUACACUACAGUAGAACUCACAGUAGAAACUACUUACACAGUCCUACAUUUGUCAUUUUAAUUUUUAC
Molecule: long non-coding RNA, 663 nt
Organism: Oreochromis aureus
Lineage: Eukaryota; Metazoa; Chordata; Actinopteri; Cichliformes; Cichlidae
Source: Ensembl